CACGUGAGCAACCUGGCUCUAAGAGGGGGACAACAGUUGGAAACGACUGCUAAUACCGCAUAACGUAUCGGGAUGGCAUCUUCCUGAUACCAAAGAUUUUAUCGCUUAGAGAUGGGCUCGCGUCUGAUUAGAUAGUUGGCGGGGUAACGGCCCACCAAGUCGACGAUCAGUAGCCGGACUGAGAGGUUGAACGGCCACAUUGGGACUGAGACACGGCCCAGACUCCUACGGGAGGCAGCAGUGGGGGAUAUUGGACAAUGGGGGCAACCCUGAUCCAGCGACGCCGCGUGAGGGAAGAAGGUUUUCGGAUUGUAAACCUCUGUUGACGGAGAAAAAAAUGAUGGUAUCCGUUUAGAAAGCCACGGCUAACUACGUGCCAGCAGCCGCGGUAAUACGUAGGUGGCAAGCGUUGUCCGGAAUUACUGGGUGUAAAGGGAGUGUAGGCGGGAUGUCAAGUCAGAAGUGAAAAUUACGGGCUCAACUCGUAACCUGCUUUUGAAACUGACAUUCUUGAGUGAAGUAGAGGCAAGCGGAAUUCCUAGUGUAGCGGUGAAAUGCGUAGAUAUUAGGAGGAACACCAGUGGCGAAGG
Molecule: ribosomal RNA, 590 nt
Filed under: uncultured bacterium
Lineage: Bacteria
Description: bacterial SSU rRNA
Rfam family: Bacterial small subunit ribosomal RNA
Source: RNAcentral